RNAcentral lists this ribosomal RNA (727 nucleotides) under uncultured bacterium. Its description in RNAcentral is "bacterial SSU rRNA". It matches the Rfam family "Bacterial small subunit ribosomal RNA", at positions 28 to 755 of the family's 1533-position model. The record is from RNAcentral.
AGCGAACGUUAGCGGCGGGCCUAACACAUGCAAGUCGAGCGAGAAAGGGGCUUCGGCCCUGAGUAAAGCGGCGGACGGGUGAGUAACACGUGGGUAACCUGCCUUUCAGUGGGGGACAACGGUCCGAAAGGACCGCUAAUACCGCAUCCGUUUCCCGGGACCUGGUUCGGAAGGAAAGCUGGCAACUGGCGCUGAAAGAGGGGCCUACGUCGCAUCAGCUAGUUGGUGGGGUAAUGGCCUACCAAGGCGAAGACGCGUAGCUGGUCUGAGAGGAUGAUCAGCCACACUGGGACUGAGACACGGCCCAGACUCCUACGGGAGGCAGCAGUGGGGAAUAUUGGACAAUGGGGGAAACCCUGAUCCAGCCACGCCGCGUGAGUGAUGAAGGCCUCGGGUCGUAAAGCUCUGUGGGGAGGGACNAACGUCCCGCAUGACCUGCGGGGUGACGGUACCUCCUUAGCAAGCACCGGCUAACUUCCUGCCAGCAGCCGCGGUAAUACGAAGGGUGCAAACGUUGCUCGGAAUCAUUGGGCGUAAAGCGCACGUAGGCGGCUUCGCAAGUCGGAUGUGAAAUCCCUCGGCUCAACCAAGGACGUGCAUCCGAAACUGCGGGGCUUGAGUACAGAAGAGGAUCGCGGAAUUCCCGGUGUAGAGGUGAAUUNUAGAUAUCGGGAGGAACACCAGUGGCGAAGGCGGCGAUCUGGGCUGAUACUGACGCUGAGGUGCG